AACCUACGCUGGCGGCAGGCUUAACACACGCAAGUCGAACGAGAUCUUCGGAUCUAGUGGCAGACGGGUGAGGAACACGUGGGAACAACCCUUUCAGUUCGGAAUAACGUUGGGAAACUAACGCUAAUACCGGAGACGUCCUUCGGGAGAAAGAUUUAUCGCUGAAAGAUUGGCCCGCGUCUGAUUAGCUAGUUGGUGAGGUAAUGGCUCACCAAGGCUACGAUCAGUAGCUGAUCUGAGAGGAUGAUCAGCCACAUUGGGACUGAGACACGGCCCAAACUGAUACGGGAGGCAGCAGUGGGGAAUAUUGGACAAUGGGCGAAAACCUGAUCCAGCCAUGCCGCGUGAGAGAUGACGGCCUUCGGCUUGUAAAGCUCUUUUGUCCGGGAAGAUAAUGACUGUACCGGAAGAAUAAGCCCCGGCAAACUUCGUGCCAGCCGCCGCGGUAA
Molecule: ribosomal RNA, 449 nt
Filed under: uncultured bacterium
Lineage: Bacteria
Description: partial 16S ribosomal RNA
Rfam family: Bacterial small subunit ribosomal RNA
Source: RNAcentral